UGUAUCUAACUGCUAACUGUAUUUAAAAAUGAAACUGUAUACAAACGAAAAUAAUCCAUUAUCACUGAAAGUGUUAAUUUCGGCUAAUUUUGCUCAGAAAGAUCUGAGGCCCGAAAUCACUAACGUGGACGAUGCUGCUUUUGCUGUGGCCUCCUUCAGUCAUUGUUAUUAAAAGGCAGAAAACAUGUCAGGACUUUCCAUUUUUACCGUAUUUACCCUUUAAAGCCAAGUGGUAACAUGCACCACCAGCGUUAAUGAUGGGUAACUCUGCACAUGUUCACAAAGUUUAUUUAUGGGUUUCGUAUGGUUCUCAAUGCAAGCAGCAAUUAUUUUUUUGAACCACCUGAUCUUACUAAUGAAGAAGUAUUGUAUUUCCUUUGUAUUGUAUUAUUAUUAUGACUUUUUCCACAUUCUAUUGUCAUCUGACUAUCUUAUGGAUCCAUGGAAUGUAAUAAAAUAUGUUUGUAUGUACA
Zootermopsis nevadensis is the source of this 473-nucleotide non-coding RNA. The record is from RefSeq and is a predicted model, not a curated record. NCBI's taxonomy places the organism in Eukaryota, Metazoa, Arthropoda, Insecta, Blattodea, Termopsidae.